GCCACGGUCGCAUAACCUGGUAUUGCGCGGGAUUGCUAAUUCCGUCCCUCUGGGAUCGUCGGUUCAAAUCCGGCCCGUGGCG
This 82-nucleotide transfer RNA is filed under the name Candidatus Woesearchaeota archaeon. RNAcentral's name for it is "tRNA-Ser". It matches the Rfam family "tRNA". From Rfam's summary of the family: Transfer RNA (tRNA) molecules are approximately 80 nucleotides in length. The record is from RNAcentral. Lineage: Archaea; Nanobdellati; Candidatus Woesearchaeota.